Molecule: ribosomal RNA, 247 nt
Filed under: uncultured bacterium
Lineage: Bacteria
Description: partial 16S ribosomal RNA
Rfam family: Bacterial small subunit ribosomal RNA
Source: RNAcentral
AGAAGCAAUGCGGCGACGCAAAGCGGAACUUGAAAGCCUGUCUCAGUUCGGAUUGGAGUCUGCAACUCGACUCCAUGAAGCCGGAUUCGCUAGUAAUCGCGCAUCAGCCAUGGCGCGGUGAAUACGUUCCCGGGCCUUGUACACACCGCCCGUCAAGCCAUGGAAGCCGGGAGUGCCUGAAGUGUGCAACCGCAAGGAGCGCCCUAAGGUAAAACUGGUGACUGGGGCUAAGUCGUAACAAGGUACC